RNAcentral lists this non-coding RNA (45 nucleotides) under Schistosoma mattheei. Lineage: Eukaryota; Metazoa; Platyhelminthes; Trematoda; Strigeidida; Schistosomatidae. The record is from RNAcentral.
AUCCAGGUGACGAGUCUCAAAUAGGACGAAACGCGAGUCCUGGAU